UACGUAGGGUGCAAGCGUUGUCCGGAAUUACUGGGCGUAAAGGGCGCGUAGGCGGUCUUGUAAGUCCCGUGUGAAAUCCCUCGGCUCAACUGAGGAACUGCACGGGAAACUGCUUGGCUUGAGUUCGGGAGAGGGAAGCGGAAUUCCGGGUGUAGCGGUGAAAUGCGUAGAUAUCCGGAGGAACACCGGUGGCGAAAGCGGCUUCCUGGUCCAGCACCGACGUUCAGGCACGAAAGCGUGGGGAGCAAACAGG
RNAcentral lists this ribosomal RNA (253 nucleotides) under uncultured bacterium. RNAcentral describes it as "partial 16S ribosomal RNA". It matches the Rfam family "Bacterial small subunit ribosomal RNA", at positions 524 to 776 of the family's 1533-position model. The record is from RNAcentral.